Molecule: ribosomal RNA, 490 nt
Filed under: Isophanes sp. 230
Lineage: Eukaryota; Metazoa; Arthropoda; Insecta; Psocodea; Caeciliusidae
Description: partial 16S ribosomal RNA
Source: RNAcentral
GUCUUGAAUGAUAUUUUUUUAAGUCUAAUCUGCUCACUGAUAAUUAAAGAGCCGCAGUAUAUUGACUGUGCAAAGGUAGCAUAAUAAUUAGUUUUUUAAUUGAAAACUGGAAUGAAAGAUUGAACGAUAAAUUGACUUUCUUGAUUUUUAAUUUAGAAUUUAAAAUUUAAGUUAAAAUACUUAAAUAUGAUUAAAAGACGAGAAGACCCUAUAGAUUUUUAUUGAUGGUUAAGUUAAUUAAAUAAUUGAUUUAAUAUUUAAUUUAAUUGGGGUGAUUUUGUAAUAUAAAAAACUUAAUGAGGAUAAACCAUAAAUAAUUGAAUUUUUUGAUCUUAAAUUUUAAAUUUAUAGAAUAAAUUACCUUAGGGAUAACAGCGUUAUAUUAUUUAAGAGUUCAUAUCUAUAAUAAUGAUUGCGACCUCGAUGUUGAAUUAAGAAGUUUACAGGAGUAGAAGUUUGUAGAUUUUGGUCUGUUCGACCAAUUAUUUCU